AGUUAAGUUGGGGCUUUUAGCCCGUGGUUUUGCCAGUACUGAAAGGGGUUUUUUUUAGCUGGUGAAGGAACUACCUGCAAUGUAUUUUGUUCCUGUGUUUUAACUGCUGCAAAUAAAAGCUAUUGGAAGGUGUUAUUGUCAGCAGUUGGAUUCGUCUGUCUUCUUCCUCGUGCCUAAAACCAAAAGUAGCUCACGGAGAGACUGCGUCGAGAGAAGAGAGAGAGAGAGAGCCUUUUGGAGGAGCUCGAAGGCUGUUUGCCGGCUGGUUCGCAAGAGUGCAGGAACGCCAGAGCAAAGGGCUUGGCUCAUACAUGGUGGCAGCGACUUUAGAACCCUCAGCCAUUUGACAAAAGGCAGGAUUAUUUUGAGGGUCCUUGGACCUACGUUCCCAACACCAGCGAGGAGCCCAGUGAGGAGCAGAAAGCACCAGAAUGGCCCAGCUGGUCCAGCGAGUGGGAGUCGACGUACAGUGAGCCUGAAUCAAUCAGGCGGAAUCCCACUGAAGAGGAGGAGGAGGAGGAGGCGGCGGCGGCGGCGGCAGAAGACGGAACAACCUGGAGAGGACUCUUCUUCAGCUAUACCACCAGCAAUAAUAAUCGUACAGUCACCCUCCAGAUGAUAAACAUCGAAAUCUCGAAUGAAGGAAUGGAAUUACAUCAAUGAUCACAACUUCAUUUUGCCAAAGGGGGCACAGCAAAUGCAACUGUGUGCCAGCACAGUUGUGAAAAGAAAAAGACUUUGAUAAAUGAAAACUGCAAGUGAUGAGUCCUGGAAAUCUACAAGAUCCAUCCCUGUCAACCCCUUUAUAAAGAAAAUUAUUUCUACUUUAGUUUUUUUUUUUUUUUUGCAUUCUUGUUUAAGAAGUUUCAAUGCAUCGAUUUGCUAAACACAACCCAGCAAAAGUUAGCUGGGGAUUAACUCCAAUUGAGAAAUCAUUUGAAUCGCAGUUUAAUUGGACCAAAUAGCAACAAACUUCUGCUGGGUUGUAAGUUGCUUGGUUUUCUCAAAUGUGCUGUUGGCUUUUAUAAAACGCUUCCAGUAAAUAGGACAUCAGAUCGUUCUUGUCCACUAAUAAAAGAGGUUGUUGUUUUCA
Molecule: long non-coding RNA, 1093 nt
Organism: Sphaerodactylus townsendi
Lineage: Eukaryota; Metazoa; Chordata; Lepidosauria; Squamata; Sphaerodactylidae
Exons: 5
Source: RefSeq, a predicted model, not a curated record